CUGUGACUAAUGUUUGCUUCAUAGGUGGUUAUUGUCUUUUUGAUUUGUUAAUGCCACCAUAGUGGAUGAAAUAUUAUUUCAAAAAAAUAAUCUUAAAUGAGAGAAAGAUAAGGAGACGAGAGAGAGAGAGAAAGUCAAAUACAAUAAAUGAAAGAGAAUAACAUAUAUGUAAAAUAAAAACCCAAAUAUGAGGAAGGAAAGAGAAUAACAUAUAUGUAAAAUGGAG
This 226-nucleotide long non-coding RNA is filed under the name Gossypium raimondii (Peruvian cotton). Its description in RNAcentral is "long non-coding RNA (GRAI_LNC004996)". Lineage: Eukaryota; Viridiplantae; Streptophyta; Magnoliopsida; Malvales; Malvaceae. The record is from RNAcentral.